GGAGUUUUCACAUUCUAAAGUGAUCAAACAAUUUGGUAUUUUUGCCUGUCAACAAGAAAAAAAUAUGUCUAAAGUUCUUAGUUUUGUUUAUAUUAUAAUUAAUUUUCUUUUCUUAACCAUAGAAGGUUCAACUUACGUUGGAUUAGAUUUGUGCAGUUCUGAUAAAGAUUGUUCUGCUACUAAGUGUGUGUUUGCUGAAGUUGCAAAAUGUAUAAAGCACAUUUGUAAAUGUGGAAAAUAUUAAUGGUACCUCUAACAUGUAGCUUUUAAAAAAUAGGGUUAAAUAAGUUUUUGGUCCCUAUAAAUAUUGCAGUUUUCAAUUUUAGUCCCUCCCUACUUUUAGGCAACGGAUUUUACGAAAAAACCGUUGGCAAAACCAGCUAAAACCGUUGCCAAAACUCAGGAGCGACUAAAAAUGAAAUUGCAAUAUUUAUAGGGACCAAAAACUUAUUUAACCCUAAAAAAUAAUAUUCCCUCCGUCUCACAAUAGGUGUCUUCGUUAAAAUUUUCACACUUUUUAUGAAAAUGAUUAAUUAUGUUAAUUUCAAUGAUAAAAUGAGUCUCAUUUAUUAAAAUAACUUUAUUAAUAAUAGAUAGUGGAGUACUUAAAUGAAUUAAAUUACAAUAAAUAAGAGUAAGUUAGUGGAAAUAAAUAAUAAAUAUCACAUUGGUAUUCUAAAUGGACAAAUAAUUUUAGACAAAUAAAAAUAAGAAAGAAGACACCUAUUGUAAGAUGGAGGGAGUAAAUAAAUGUUGUUGCUUUUAUCUUUUCUCUCACACUUCAAUCGUGUUUGUUGUCCCUUUAAAUUUAUAUUUUUCUUUUGAA
Vicia villosa (hairy vetch) is the source of this 826-nucleotide long non-coding RNA. RefSeq lists it as uncharacterized. The record is from RefSeq and is a predicted model, not a curated record. The transcript has 2 exons. NCBI's taxonomy places the organism in Eukaryota, Viridiplantae, Streptophyta, Magnoliopsida, Fabales, Fabaceae.